GAAUAGGUAAACCGGAGUAUGUUCACCAUAUCUAUACAAUGGAAUACUCUUCAGAAAUAGGAAAAAACAAACUAUUAAUAUAUACAACAACAUGAAUGAAUGUCAAAAUAAUUGUCCUGAGUCAAAGAAGCCAGACCAAAAACUAACCCCCUCCCAAAUGCAGUACAUCUGCAUGACUCCAUUUGUAUAAAAUUCUAGAAAAUACAAAUCAAUCUGUAGUGACAGAAAGCAAUCCGUGGUUACCUUUGACUGGAGGUGUGGGGAAGGAUGAACACAAGAAAACUUUGGGGAAUUAUGAGAACAUUUGAUAUCUUGAUCAUGGUGAUGGUUUCAUGGGUGUGUGUACGUGUCAAAGCUUUAAAUGUGUGAGUUUACAUAAAUUGUACCUCAAUAUAAGUUGUCAAAGAAGGGAAAAAUAAAGAAAGGAAACAGGGAAGGAGGAAGAACUGACACACAGUAAUACGGAUGAAUUUCACAAAACAUCGUGCUGAGGGAGAGAAGCUGGACAUAAAAUAACACAUACUGUACGACUCCGUUUAUAUACAAUUCUAGAAAAAGCAAACUAAUCUCUAGUGACAGAAAGCAGGUUGGCAGUUGCCUGGGGUUGGGGGUGGAGGACAGAAUAGACUGAAAAAGGGCAAGAGGAAAUUUUGGGUGUGAUCAAUGUUCUGUAUCUUGAUUGUAAUGGUGGUUUGACAUGAAUAUACAUCUAUCAAAGCUCAUUGAGUUUUACACUUUACAAAUGGAUUGAUCUAUUGAAGUAAAUUAUACCUACCUAAAUAAAGUGAGUUUUAAAAGGCCUUUGUUUAACUCUUGCUGCCAGGGAUCAUUCAAGCUGAGAAUAAUGUACCACAUAUGGGCCCAAGAGUUGUCUUUGCUUGGGGAAAAAUAUUUAAAUGAGCCUCUCAGCUGUGAAGAGUAAAUCCCAAAUCCUAUUCCUGAAUGAAGAUUUUUGGGACAACAGGGAACUCGCCUGCUGUGUAAUCUAAAAAUUUUUGUUUUCACUAAGGUUAGAGUGAAAACUCUGGGUAAUAUUCACGAGGUGUUAUUGGCUUCAUUCCUCUGCCUGGGGCCAAAUGCAGUGGGGUGGGGGUCCUGGAUUUUAAAGAGGGAGGACUGGAUUAAAAAGACCUUCAUCCAAGUGAUAAAGCUGGUCCCGGAAACAUGGUGAGAGGUCAGGGGCUGAGGAAUAAGAGGUGAGUAGAGGACCUGCGAGGGGGGACCUGGCCCAUGAACCACCACGAGUCAAGAGAUCAAGUCAUCUGUUUUAAGGUAUUCUCUUUCUGCACUGUAUUUUCCCCUCCUUGAUCUGUCACACACAAACUCUCAGUAAAGUUAGAUUAAAGGUUACAAUUUGAUAUUCACUGCCUCUGAGGACAUUAAUGGGGGGUCAUGUCCAGGUACAGUGAUAUGUGGGGAACCAGGGAAGCUUGGAGACAUGAAUACAAAGUUGCUAGAAGUGACCGUCAGAGAGGCCCAGAGUGGUGGUCCACAGUGAAAGGUGAUAAAAGCUCAGCAACAAACAGUCUGGAGAAACACAUGAGGACUCCUCAGGGAUUCUCAGAACUAUAGCUGGAGGAAACUGUGGAUUUCCUGCACUCCAGCGGAGUGAGGAGAGCACAGACUAUAUUACUGAGUGUUUAAAGGAACGGUGACCUCCUAAAAGGUGGUAGCUUGGGGAUGUUUGGAAUAUAAAGAGAUUAACUAACACCCCCCUCUGCUCCCCAGUCUCCCAAGGAUGUUUGGACUGUCCUGAGUUAUUUUGGACUAUGAGACAAAAAUAAUCCAUAACUCCUGGUUCGCCUCUUCUAUCUCAAAAGCUCGGAGGGGACCUACGCUAUAUGACCAAACCCUAACUAGUAGUUGCCUUUGUCUGGUUUGACGUCAGUUAAUUACUGGACUCUGAACCUGAGAGAGAGUUAAAAAGAAAGAUAGCUGGAGGGAAACCAUUUUCUCCCUGGAUUACCUAGCAAGAACAGAUAAAAUGAAAGCCUUCACUCACCUCAGUCUUCUUGCCCUCCUUUUUCUAAUGUCAGCCGAGAACCAAACUGCUUCAAACUCAGCUGCCUCUAAUACAAUAAGCAAUUACUAAAGCUACAGUGACUUGAGGUUCAAUGUUCACAUUCAGCAAGUUUAAAUCCACUCUUAUGUGAUUUUUGAAACCUUAUUUAUUACCUGAAAAUAUUGCUUGCUGAUAAAACUUGCUCAAAUGCUAUCGCUGAAUGUACAAGUCACCGAUUAUGCCAAUACAACAAAGAUAACCACAUGUUUGAGGACUGCAAUGAGCCGGACAUUCACUGAAAAAAAAA
Aethalodelphis obliquidens (Pacific white-sided dolphin) is the source of this 2309-nucleotide long non-coding RNA. RefSeq lists it as uncharacterized. The record is from RefSeq and is a predicted model, not a curated record. NCBI's taxonomy places the organism in Eukaryota, Metazoa, Chordata, Mammalia, Artiodactyla, Delphinidae. The transcript has 2 exons.